GCUACUGCUUUGAAGAGGAAGAGUAAAGCGUUCCCAGUCAAAAGAGAGAAGGCGCCACCGGCUGAAAGCACCUUUAGUUAUGGACGUUUGAAAACUGCCUUGGAGCAGGGACAUUAGUAGCGUCAGUGAAAAUGUCUUCGCAUGUCAGCGUUAAAGGCAAAGAGAUGGCCUGCUAAUUGGCGGCCAAAUUAGGUGGAACCGCGAGUAGAACCCUCGUCCUAUGU
RNAcentral lists this non-coding RNA (224 nucleotides) under Peptoclostridium acidaminophilum. RNAcentral describes it as "T-box sequence". It matches the Rfam family "T-box leader". From Rfam's summary of the family: Uncharged tRNA acts as the effector for transcription antitermination of genes in the T-box leader family. T-boxes are found upstream of many aminoacyl-tRNA synthetase genes and some amino acid biosynthetic genes usually in Gram-positive bacteria. Lineage: Bacteria; Bacillati; Bacillota; Clostridia; Peptostreptococcales; Peptoclostridiaceae. The record is from RNAcentral.